This 1077-nucleotide ribosomal RNA is filed under the name human gut metagenome. RNAcentral describes it as "bacterial SSU rRNA". It matches the Rfam family "Bacterial small subunit ribosomal RNA", at positions 331 to 1413 of the family's 1533-position model. The record is from RNAcentral.
CCAGACUCCUACGGGAGGCAGCAGUGGGGAAUAUUGCACAAUGGGCGCAAGCCUGAUGCAGCGACGCCGCGUGAGGGAUGGAGGCCUUCGGGUUGUAAACCUCUUUUGUUAGGGAGCAAGGCACUUUGUGUUGAGUGUACCUUUCGAAUAAGCACCGGCUAACUACGUGCCAGCAGCCGCGGUAAUACGUAGGGUGCAAGCGUUAUCCGGAAUUAUUGGGCGUAAAGGGCUCGUAGGCGGUUCGUCGCGUCCGGUGUGAAAGUCCAUCGCUUAACGGUGGAUCCGCGCCGGGUACGGGCGGGCUUGAGUGCGGUAGGGGAGACUGGAAUUCCCGGUGUAACGGUGGAAUGUGUAGAUAUCGGGAAGAACACCAAUGGCGAAGGCAGGUCUCUGGGCCGUUACUGACGCUGAGGAGCGAAAGCGUGGGGAGCGAACAGGAUUAGAUACCCUGGUAGUCCACGCCGUAAACGGUGGAUGCUGGAUGUGGGGCCCGUUCCACGGGUUCCGUGUCGGAGCUAACGCGUUAAGCAUCCCGCCUGGGGAGUACGGCCGCAAGGCUAAAACUCAAAGAAAUUGACGGGGGCCCGCACAAGCGGCGGAGCAUGCGGAUUAAUUCGAUGCAACGCGAAGAACCUUACCUGGGCUUGACAUGUUCCCGACGAUCCCAGAGAUGGGGUUUCCCUUCGGGGCGGGUUCACAGGUGGUGCAUGGUCGUCGUCAGCUCGUGUCGUGAGAUGUUGGGUUAAGUCCCGCAACGAGCGCAACCCUCGCCCCGUGUUGCCAGCGGAUUAUGCCGGGAACUCACGGGGGACCGCCGGGGUUAACUCGGAGGAAGGUGGGGAUGACGUCAGAUCAUCAUGCCCCUUACGUCCAGGGCUUCACGCAUGCUACAAUGGCCGGUACAACGGGAUGCGACAGUGCGAGCUGGAGCGGAUCCCUGAAAACCGGUCUCAGUUCGGAUCGCAGUCUGCAACUCGACUGCGUGAAGGCGGAGUCGCUAGUAAUCGCGAAUCAGCAACGUCGCGGUGAAUGCGUUCCCGGGCCUUGUACACACCGCCCGUCAAGUCAUGAAAGUGG